UUUAUUCGCAUUAGGCAUCAGUUUAGACAUAGCCUAACAACAACAACAACAACAACAACUAAAACGGUGAAUAGAAUAAAAAGAUAAUAUAGUCAGGCUGGUUACGUAACGAGGAUGACUGUAAAGGUUCAUGUUGUAUACUGAGGAGCAUGAGGUUAUGCCUCCAAGUUCCGAAAGCUAGCUAAUGAUUUGAAGAAAGAGUUUCCAGAUAAACUUGACAUUACAAGUGAGGGUACUCCUAAUGUAACUGGCUGGUUUGAGGUUCUUGUUGAUGGCAAACCUGUUCACUCAAAAAAGAAUGGAGAUGGCUAUGUUGACAAUAAAGCAAAGAUUGACAGAAUUAAGAAACAUAUAGAACAAAGUUUGACGUAGUGAUUUACCUGCUAAAAAUAUGAUAACAACUGGACAUGGUUCAUUAAUUUCUGGAGAGAAGCUAGGAUGAUGAUUUAUGAUGAAACAAUUGAUGUGUCAUAGAUUGGAUGAUAACAGCUGCUGCCAGAUAUUGAAUAUUGUUCACUUGUUGCCAGUUUAUAUGUACAUAUUAAUGUGUUAUGCACUCUCAUAUAUUUUUUGUUCCAUUUGUUGUUACCAGUACAAGCAUGUAACUUGUUAUAUCUGCAGGAAAUACUGUGAUAAACAUUUACAUAUGAAUUUUUUUAGUGUUAAUCCUACUUUCAUUUUAUCGAUUCCCAGAUAAUGCAGGUCACUUUCAAUGUAAUUGAUCAGGAAAUCCUUUAGCUGUACCACUGCUUAAGCAUGUACAGAAGUGAAAGUAAAGGCAGUAUGUACUGGUAAACUGCUUGACAGCCUGCUUGCCUUUGCUGAACUGUGCUCUGCUAAAUUUAGUGUUGCACAUUUAUAUAGUCUGACCAAGCUCUAUACUGUUGGUAGCUCAAUUUUUGAAUUUGAAGGAAAGGCAAAUCAUUAUAUUAAAUUCAGUAUGUUAAGAUUUUACAUAGGUCAGUAUUGCACUGAAAUCCUAAAUGGUACAAUGUAUAUUGUUAGUGGCAUUACCUUUAUGGUGACACUAAAGUAAGAAAGAAUGAUAUGUUUAUACAUAUACAUGUAUCAAUGUGAUAUCUAAAAAGGCUGAUAAUUUUGAAUCUCUUUAUGUUUUGUUUUUUUACAUUUUAUGUUUAUUUUAAGUUCUUGCUUAAGGUACAAUGUAUCAUGUAUUCUCUUUUUCUAUUUGUUGAACUUGUUUUCUACAGUAACAUGUGAUGCAUCUACUCCUUCGCAAAUUGUUGAAAUUUCAACAAAUCUCGGGAAUUUUUCAUAUACAAACGAUAAAAAGUAAAUGAUACUGGAUAGUAUCAUUUAAAUUUGAUAUAGACUAUAAUAUCUGUCACUAUUCUUUUGUAUUGGAAGAAAAAGGGAAGUAAGAAAACUUUAUUACAUAGGAUUUCAAGAUUUGGACAGAUCAAGUUAUGAAAUAAAACUUAAGUUGUGUAUACAUGUAUAUUGUUUUCUCAUGCAUUUACAGACUAACUUUUAUAUAUUUACAUGUUUUCAUUCACCUUAAUUAAUAAAUAUUUUCGAGAUUUAA
This is a long non-coding RNA of Ruditapes philippinarum (Manila clam), 1546 nucleotides long. RefSeq lists it as uncharacterized. Lineage: Eukaryota; Metazoa; Mollusca; Bivalvia; Venerida; Veneridae. The transcript is spliced from 6 exons. The record is from RefSeq and is a predicted model, not a curated record.